RNAcentral lists this unclassified non-coding RNA (240 nucleotides) under soil metagenome. Its description in RNAcentral is "partial contains 5.8S ribosomal RNA, internal transcribed spacer 2, and large subunit ribosomal RNA". The record is from RNAcentral.
AAGACUAUAGACCUGCGGAGUACCUGCGGAAGGAUCAUUACAGAGUUGCAAAACUCCCAAACCAUUGUGAACGUUACCUUCUCGUUGCUUCGGCGGGCGGCCCGGGUCCUUCCCGGCGCCCCCCGGCCCCUCGCGGGCGCCCGCCGGAGGUAAACCAAACUCUUGAAUUGUAUGGCCUCUCUGAGUCUUCUGUACUGAAUAAGUCAAAACUUUCAGCAACGGAUCUCUAGAUCGGAAGAG